GAUGAACGCUGGCGGCGUGCCUAAUACAUGCAAGUCGAGCGAACAGACGAGGAGCUUGCUCCUCUGACGUUAGCGGCGGACGGGUGAGUAACACGUGGAUAACCUACCUAUAAGACUGGGAUAACUUCGGGAAACCGGAGCUAAUACCGGAUAAUAUAUUGAACCGCAUGGUUCAAUAGUGAAAGACGGUUUUGCUGUCACUUAUAGAUGGAUCCGCGCCGCAUUAGCUAGUUGGUAAGGUAACGGCUUACCAAGGCAACGAUGCGUAGCCGACCUGAGAGGGUGGUGGCCCAACAGGAAAUGGAGACCCGUCCCGGACCCUGAGGGGGGGAGGAGGGGGGAAUUCUUCCGGAAGGGGAAAAGCCCGACGGGACAACCGCCGGGGGGGUAAGGAGGGUUUUGGGAUCUAAAAACUUUGUUAUAGGGGAAAAAAAAAUGUGAAAGAACCUAUGCGCGUCUGGAGGGACCCUAAUAAGAAAGCCAGGCCAAAUACGGUC
RNAcentral lists this ribosomal RNA (497 nucleotides) under uncultured bacterium. RNAcentral's name for it is "partial 16S ribosomal RNA". It matches the Rfam family "Bacterial small subunit ribosomal RNA", at positions 28 to 508 of the family's 1533-position model. The record is from RNAcentral.